AGUAAUUUGAUUAAAGUUCCUUAAUUAACCUUUUUUUAAAAUAUAGUCAGAUAAGUGAAAUCUACUGUAUCUUCUUCUUUAGAUAAAAAAUAUACAUACCUUACUAAAUAAAAUACUUAGCAAGUGACCUUUUCAGUAGCAAUUGAAGAAGACCAAGAAAGCUCGCUUGCAUAAACAUUCUUAUAAAUUUAUUCUCUAUUUAAAAAAAAUAUUAUAAACAUACCAGAAAUUUUUCCUACUAUGUUUCAGAUUCCUAACCUAUUAUGACUUUUAAAGUGAUUCCUGCGAUUACUGAUUUUUAUAAAUGUGAAUGAAGAAUUCAAAUUGUUUGAUUAUAAAAGAGAAUAACAAGUUGAAAAAAAUUGAAAAGUAUUUUAUCACUCUAAAAUAUAUUUCCAUUAAAAAUAUCCAUAUUCGUCUGAAAUCACUGCAAAACAAAAGUUAAAGUAUCACCAAUUCCGAAGAGUCGUUUGACAAAAAGAAAUUAAAAAGAAAUUCGAAAAAAAAAUAUUGACAAGUUGAUCAGAAAAAUAAUAGUCUAUAAAUAGAAACUUGUGAGGUUAUGUUUACCUUCCCGAAUACCGAAUACCAAUGCGACGUGAAAGGAUCGAGGAUUAUACGAUAAAGCUAGUCACGGAUAUUUUUAAAUUUGUGUGACUUAAAUAUUAGAAGUUCCUUAAAACAAACGAUCUCGAGUAACAUUUUUUUGCACGAGUCUUUCAUGAGUGUUGAAAAAUCGUAUUCGUAACCACAAUGAUUCGGACCACCAUGUCUGUGGUGGAUGCCUUGUGAUGCCUCAACCUUGACCUGUAUUGAACUAGACCAAACCUUAAAGUAGGCUUUUAUGCACAUUUCGCAAUGUUGUUCCCAACACCAAUUUCACUUCGACCGUGACUCGAGUCGGAAAGCAAUGUGAUCCUAUACGAGCUAUGUAUCAUCAAUCGUCAAUGUGAACUAUGGAAGUAACAAUUAAUUUUAUUUUACUUUUUUAAA
Long non-coding RNA from Apis dorsata (giant honeybee), 993 nucleotides. RefSeq lists it as uncharacterized. The transcript is spliced from 2 exons. The record is from RefSeq and is a predicted model, not a curated record. NCBI's taxonomy places the organism in Eukaryota, Metazoa, Arthropoda, Insecta, Hymenoptera, Apidae.